Molecule: ribosomal RNA, 205 nt
Filed under: uncultured bacterium
Lineage: Bacteria
Description: partial 16S ribosomal RNA
Rfam family: Bacterial small subunit ribosomal RNA
Source: RNAcentral
CGCGUAGGCGGGGAGGUAAGUCGGGUGUGAAAGCCCUGGGCUCAACCCUGGGAAUUGCAUUCGAAACUAUCUGACUCGAGUAUGGGAGAGGGAAGCGGAAUUUCCGGUGUAGCGGUGAAAUGCGUAGAUAUCGGAAGGAACACCAGUGGCGAAGGCGGCUUCCUGGACUAAUACUGACACUGAGGUGCGAAAGCGUGGGGAGAAC